UAUUAAAUAAAAAAUGACAAAAAGCCGAUACUCCUGAUGAGUGUGUUGUAGAUCACCGUUGUAGAUGGAAGUUUGGGAAGGUAGAAUAAAUCAUUGCUAACAGUGUUUAAUGUGGAAAGGGGCGGAGGUUUAGAGACUUUAAAUAGUUUAAGUCAUCAAAGUCCGGGAGGACGGUUUAGUUAUUAUAACUGGGGUAUUUUUAAUGAAAUUUUAAAAAAACUAAAUUAGUUUUAUCAAAAAUGAAUUUUUUAAUACCUAUUGGAUUAUGCACAACCGUUAACCAGAUUAUAUUUUACUUAUUACUGAGUAAACAUAUUUUUAGGAUAGUAUUUUGGCAGGAAGAGGGAGUGCGGUUUAUUUUUAAAUCAUAUUAGCAUACAAAUUCUAUAAACAAAAUAUGUGUUUAAGAGAAAACAUUUUAAAAGACUUGUUUCCAUGAUGGGCUUCCUGAAAGUUUAGUUGGGUUUAGUUAGUUUCCAGAAACGCUCCUAAAUUUUUGAUAAAUAUAGUUCCCCCAUUUUUUCCAUUUUCACCACUUGUUGCUAAAGAAAAACGAUUCUAAACGAAGUUCGAUAAAAAAAAACACAUAUGUUUUGAAACGCAAAGAAAAUACAUGAAAAAUCUAAAAAUUACCUCUUCAAUGCACCAACAAUAACUUAAAAUUCUACAAAAACACUCACUAGUCAGUUUUCGAUUGGAAUAAAUUUUCGAUAGAAAAGUCGUUAAAUUUUUAUUUUUUUAAUAAUAUUAUACCACCAACGUGCUCAGAAUCUAAAAAUCCAUUUAAAAAUCACGUCGGCAUUUAAAAUUAAAAUAAUAUUUUUUUAAAAUUGAUAUUUGAUCAGAUAUUUUCGGAGAAAAACGUCUAUAAGGUCUCUAGAUUCUAGUAAAAUAUAUAUUUUAUACAUAACAACCCGGUAUUUUAUAUUUUGGUGACCCUAAAUAAUUAGCUGGCGACCUUUAGAGGAGUCAUGACCCCCAGGUUGAGAAACACUGCUCUAGCUUAUUGGUCUAAAUAUAUAUAUAAAAAAAAAAAGAAAAACAAAUUACUUCCAAAACACCUUAAAAAAAACGGGUUUUCAAUCGAUAAAUAAGUUGAUUUCAAUAUCAACACAUGGAUUUCGAUUUCAAAUAUAGGAUAUUAUAUAUUAUAUAUAGGAUAUCAAUUUACCACAAAUAAUAAUAAAAUUAAAAACUAUAGAACACUAUAGUUUUCUUUUCAGGGAAUCUGAACUCUGAAACUACACGAUUUAACGCAUUUUACCGACGACCCUCUUAGAUGCGGUCAAUUUGUACGAUUGCCAUUUGAACUUCAUCCCCCGUCAGCAUAUUUCACACUUGGUAUAAUAUCAUGUGCGUAUAAUAAAAUGCGUAGGUAUCUAGGUACACACAUAGCUACUACUUAAAUUUAUCGCAUUAAAACAUUUUCCCCUCUCUAUUAAUAAUAUAGUGCUUUUAUUUAAUAAAAAAAUAAUGAUAAUAAUAAAACUGACAAUUUUAUUAAGAUAUUUAACAGCAUAAUAUAAAAAAAAAAAAAAAAACAAACCGAUUAUUCGGUUAUAUUUUUAACAACAUUUUUAGAACGGGUCGACGACGACUUUUAAUAUUUACAGGGAUAUUCUCGUCAUUGCGAUUUGCUUAUAUACUUAGGUAUUUAUUCGUAUUUAAAAUACAAUUAUUUCUAACCGGAGGAUAUAAUAUAAUUUCGUCAAAUCGUUUUUUUACUCGCGUAGAAGGUGUGUAAGUAUAUUAUAAUAUUGUUCCGAUCACCCGGCACGAUGGCUAAACAACAAUGACUAUCGUAAAUAAAACAAUAAUAUUAUUGUAAUCGGGACUCGUGACGGACGUGCAUUAGCCAUUCGUUCGGUAUAAUAAUAUUAAAGUGUACUGGUACCUAUAAACUUUAUGUUAGUAUUAUUAUUAUGUUCCUAUAAUAUUAUAAUAACGUGUCAUAUGAUAUUAGAGGUAAAGCACGAACGUGCUUCUGUAUUUUAAAAGUAAAAUUAUUAAUCAUACAAUUCGGCCAAUGGUUUUCAUUUUGGCUAUACCUAACUAAUAUAAUGCAACGCAUGAUAAUAAUAAUGAUUCGUAAUCUAUUAUGAUCUAAUUACCUGGACUAGUUUGCCAACUUAGACCACCAAUGAACAUUUUCCUGAAACAAAAAAAUACAACAUAUUAUAAUAUAGUUUUCAAAAUAAAUGUAAAAUGUAUAAGUAUAUGUUUAUGACACGUAUAGUAAAUAAGAAAAACUAAGGCAGCGAGUUAAAUGUAGGAUUUUUAUUCCCGCAGCAGAACCUGAAAAUAUCGGAUAGUACAGUAGGUGUAAGGUUACAGAGAGGGCCGGACACGACGACUUUUGGCGAAGUCGGAAUCCAUGUUUGUACGCACAGCCAAUGGAAGAGAACCCAAAGUUCUCUUUCUUAACUCCGUUUGAAAUAAAUUAGGCAUAUGGCGAAGACCGAUACGAGAGACAUAGAGUUUCUAAACGAAGAGUCAAACUGGAAUAAAUCGAGAGCCCCUAAUAGGGAGGGUCGGAUGAUUUGGUGUGUGUACUAUGUAAUCCAUGGUUAUAGCGACCGAUAACUCCAAGGAGAAGAAGUUAUAACACGUCAAGUAUUUAAAACGUAUAUAUUUUGUUUAUUUUUAUAUGAUGUAUUUGUGAUUAUUAUAUUAAUUUAAACAAAAAUAAAAUUUUAAAUCACUGCGCGUUAUAGAAAAUAAAUUUGACGAUUAUAAUUAUAAUAUGAUUUUAUAGAUACGUUAUACGUAGGUACUCUUAUAGAUAAGGUUAGGUUGCCAGGCCGUAGGAAGCCAGACCCCACCGGUCCGAUGGAAUCUAUUGGAAAAAAAAAAGAAGUACACUCGGUAUAAAUUUACUAUUAUUCAAACGGCUGUAAAAAUUUACGUUUACACAAGCUCGAAAAAUAAUCUAAUAAUAUAUUCAAUCUUUACUCUUUCUUUCACUCUCUCCCUCUCUCUCUCUCUCUCUCUCUCUCUCUCCCUCUAAAACAAAAACAACAUAAUAUUUCCAUUAACUCGUCGGGAUAAAAUGUGAACCGUUUUGUCGGUGCGCAUCAGUGUUUUUCUAUAUAUAUAACAAUGAUAAUAUAAAAAGAACGUUUUUUUAUUUUUUUGAGUUCUUUAUUCGAAAAUUUCAAACAAUCGAACUAGUCAACGUUAUAUGUUCCUAUGCAUACUAUAUUGUAUAUUAUAAUCUGUACGUCGGGCUUUUUAGUUUUCCAAAAGUGAUCAUUCGUCCCUAUGAAUGUGUGAGCAUUUUUUUCCUAUAUACUGUAUUUUUGGGAAAACGCCAAGCGAUGCUCUUGUUUUAUAUACGCCGUACUUGGGUUUCAAAAAAAAAAAAACCUUCACGUAAAAAUAAUCAGUAAGUUCGAGAUAGGUAAUUAAAGAAAACGUAAAACAAAUUUCGUCCUAUAGGUAAUAUACUAUUAUUUAUAAAUACGAGUGAAAAAUAAGAAAAAACUACCACCAGGUAAACCGUAAAUGUUAUUUUUUCUGUUCGCUAUUUUGUUACCUAUAGUAUACUAUUAUUAUUAUAACUAUUUUCAUCUGGAUGUUGGAUAUCAUCCAAAACCGAUAUAUUGUUGAAACUAUACUACAGAACGUGCGUGCGCGCUUGCGCACACACACACACACAUACAUAAAUAUAAAGAUAAUUCAUCAUUAAGAUUUUGUACACAAACUCCUCGUGAGUGUUAUUUACGAUACCGCGGAACGCAUCACUACAAUAAUAUAUCAAAGGGAACCAAUAAUCAUUAUUAUAUAUAGUCCGUCAAAAACCACGCAGUGUAUAAUGAUUCCAGUAUCUAUACUUACGUUUUAUACGAGAAAAUAUUAAUAAUAUUAAUCGAAUUGAACUCAAGUGAAACACCACGCACCGUUUUAUUAUUUAACGAUAAUAUUUUUAAUUUCUAUACUAUACCUAAUGUUUUGAGUUUUUAGUCAAAAUGUCUCUACUCAAAUGAAAAAAUGUACAUAAAAUAACUCCAGCGAUUAACAUUAAUUCUAGUAUUUUAAUAGAAUAUAUAUAUACAGUGAAAACAAAAUAAAAUAGUAUAUUGUUGAUCAUAUAGAGAACAAAUAUUUGAAAAAAUAUUUCCACCGGAUCAGUAUAACGACACACCCGAUGAGAAGAGUUAUUAUUGAGAAAAGAAGGGUAAUUAUUCGAUAAUAAGUCUAUUAUUGUAAACGUCGUUUACGAUAGUUCGCUGGCUCCAUUUGUCGUAAAAAGGUUGGUUUUGUUUUUCGAAAUUAUCUUUGUCGUGCGUCAUUAAUCGGCCAUUUUUUUUUUUAUUUCUCCGUCUUUCGUUCGAUAAUCUAUAAUAGGAUUUAUACCCAUACUCAGCAUGGUAUAGAGAAUCAAAAAACAUUUUUUCCACAAAAUAAUACAACUACAUUAUAGUUAGUUAGCACACUCAAUAUUUUAUACUAAAAAUGUUCUAACCCGACCAAUUGCAAAAUAAAACCUUAUAAGAUAACACUUAUUUCCGUCUAACGAGUUUUUGUUAUUGUUAUUUCACGAUUAUAAAUAGAAAAAUCGUGACGAUGCUCAGGAAAAAAAUGACGACUGUUUCCGUGAUUGUUUUCCUGUUUUUUUUUUUUUUUUGGUUUUCCAUUUGAAACGAAUUAAAUUUUUGGCGGAUAACAAUCGCGCAUGACGUUAUCGAGUAGCAUAACAUGUCAGUAUGUAGACUUGGCUGCAAGUUGCUUAACCGUGAUAGUUUUACAUGAAUAUGAAACGAAAACAAUAUUUCGAUCACGUUACCCACACGUACGUAUAAAACAACAACAAUAAUAAUAAUAGUAAUUAAUAUUUUAUCGGCCCCUUGAAACGAUAUUUUUACUGUUUUGUAAAAGCGACAACUACAUGCAGUUGCAACGUUAGUUUAGUAAAUGCGAUCACAGAAAACGGGUAGCAGACGGUCAGUGCUCACUGCAGUGCGAUGAAAACAAUAUGGCAAAAGAACGAUGGGAAAAAGACGUACAAUUUUAUUACAUUGUCAAAAAGUUUAUAUUUGCUGGCCACACACCACAAUCCGCGUGCGGAUUUCUGGAUCGAAAUCCGUUUUAUAGUGCGUAUAUUAUAUCCUUGAAGCAGCCAGUUCUGCACACCUCCCCUCUCUCUCUCACACCACGUCGAGGAAAUCCGAAUCCCUAAGGUUCACCCUUGAUGUCACACAUCACGGUUCCCCCGCUCCCUCCAUCCCAUAAGAUAACCAAACGAACACAUUGUCAAAAAGCUACUGGCAGCAUAAUAUAAUAUAAAAAACAAAAAAAACAAAACCGAAAAAUCGAUAAGACGAACAAAUACGGUUUUUUUUUCGAGAGAGUUUUCUCCAAUCCUUGUUUGAUUUAGGCGCGGGAUUAGGUAUAUUGUUGUGGCAUGAUUGGGUAGUAGGAAGAGGGAGGAGAAACCUUAUAGAAUUUGCUUAUCUCGUUCACGGUAGUACCUAUACGCAGUAAACAUACAGAAUUGUAAUAUUUUUUUCGUUCCCGACCGAAUUAUAACACCUAGCCUGUUAUCACGACCACGCGGUUUCAAACUAUGUCAACCGGUGCAGUGAUAUUUUUCUUUUCGAAUCGUAUUUAUUUUACGUCCACUCGAUGGAAACUAAUAUUUUAUUAUAAUUUUUACCAAUACGAUCUCUAUUAGCUUAAUUUAUUAUUUUAUUUGUCUUCGAUUUACAAGCCGAGUGUCUGUCUAUAACGUCGCAGUGUAGGAUUUCGAUUAUUGUUCGAUAACGAUUCCACGCGCCUGACACAAAUACCCCAUCAAUAUAAUAUUAUAAAAAACGCGAUUGGAAACUAAAAACGGACGAUGUCUGGCUGGCACUUGAAAAGAUAUUAUUUAUUUAUUUAAGGUAGCCAAGCUACAUCAUAUUAUAUUGAAAUAUUAUAAACGUGCACGAAACUAUACAAUAAUUUAUUAUAACACGUGAAUUAUUAUAAUAAAUAUUAUAUUAAAUAGUGUUUCGGAUUAUCGUCGUUGUAGUUUUAUUAUGCACUGCUGCGUUAUAAAUUAUAAAAUCCAUAAUUCGUUUAGCUUUAUAAUUAAGUAUAAUAAUAAUGGUGCGAUAAACUAACAAUUUAUAAUAACUGUUAAACAAACUCGCUCAAACAUUAAAUACGUAAAAUAGGUACCUAUUUAUUGUGUGUAUUAUAUAUUAUAGUGUUUGAAUGAAAUUAUUAUUUUAUUAAUUUAUUCAUGUCCGUACUCUACAUUAAUACCGCAAUAAGAAUACAAAUAAUAAUAAUCGAUAUUGUGAUUUCUUUCUCAUUAAUAUCACUAGUAUAAUAUUAUUAUUCAGGACGCUAACAAAAUUGUUAAAUUUUUUUCUAUUCCUCUACGUACGUAAAUAUUUGAUAAUUUGUAAUAAUGAUAAUAAUAAUAUUCUAUAAUAUAUAGUGAUUUCUUGACGGAUAUUCACCCAAACGAAAUCAUACAAUUAAAUAUAUAUAUAUAUAUAUAUAUAUAUAUAUACAUAUAGAUAUAGAUAUUUCAUACUACGCGAAUAUUAUAUUACAUCCAAUUGAUGAAAAAAUAAUUAACGAAUUUGUUGGUUUUUUUAAUAUUACAUUAAAAUCGCCAAUAUCCCGAGACACAUUACAUAAAAUUAGCGAGUUUUUUUUAUGUGAGUACUCGCAUACGAUUGUAGAUACUGUAUACAUGAUUUUACAGUUAUUAUUCUGCUGUUUCGGUAUGACGGUACAAAAGAAAAUAUUAAGUUGCGCGUAUUGAUCGUAAAUUGUACAGUCGCUAACCUUUGGAAUUUUAAUGUAAACACAGUUAAUACUUUCGAGUUGCCUGUCAUUAAAGUUACAGCGAUGUUAAUGUUUGAUUAUUUUUUUUUCGAAUAACUGUCAAAUUUUCGUUUGACAAUAUUUCAGGAAAACAGCAACUAUACUGCUGAACAUAAUCUUUAAACUAUCUUUAAACAUUAUCAGGUUAUCCGUGUGAUUAAAGUCUAAUUUCGAACCUAAACGCCGCAAUUUAUACGCUCUAUACGCGUAACGAAAUUAUUUCGCUAUAAUUUGUUGCCCGUUAUAGUUAAUAAGAGACCUCUGACUGCAGUAUAGAUGCGGGUAUGGCGUCCUGUUAAUCAUUUUCAAUUGCAUAAUAUUAUGUCAUAAUUAUUCGUGUGAAAAUUUUAAUACGUAACGCGGAUAAAUCGACAAUAAAUCGUGUAGCUGUAGUAUGUCACCAAAGUACGAAAUAUCAUAAUAAUUUCAAAAGAUUUUCUCAGUAAACUAAUAUAGGUAACAAUAUUACACAGAUACGUUAUUCAUUUUAAAAAAUGUAUCAAACAGAGGUUUAUUAUAAUAUACUAAUGUGACACAUCAAAAGAGUAAUUACUAUUACUCGCUGUUAAUAUCGUGUACCUUAUUUAAAAACUAUAAUUAUUGUUUAUUUGUUUAUUCGGUCAAAUAAUAUUGUAUAAAUAUUAAAUUACAAUAAUAAUUAAAAACUCUAUCACCAUAUAGAGUUAAUUUUUCCUCUAUCUACAUUUUAUAUUUCAUUAAAAGUAAUAACGUAUAGUAUCUACAAAAAGUCAAUACGACAAUAAACGAUAUAAGAUACGAAACGUAUUGAUUAGAAAACACUACAAUAUAUGUUUGUGCUCAUUCAUAACGGUACGAGGCAAUAUUCAGACAUUUUUUAAAGUCAACUAUUUAAUAAUAUCAAAUUAUAUAGUCUACUUGAAAAGUUCUACAUAAUGAAUACGUGGAACCCAAAUAAUUUCUACGUUUUAUCGAUAUAAUAUAAUAACAAAGUUUACAUAAUACAAUAUCGUACACGUCAGACUCGAUACAAUAUAAUAUACGAACCGUAUAUAAAUAACAUUAGGUAGAAUACAUACCAUUGUCAGUUAUCAACUAAAUCAAUACGUAUAUAGAUUGAUAUGCCGCUCGUUAUCUCAAUUAUUAUUUAAAUAUCUAAUCUCCUGUCCGUUAUUAUUAUUAUUAUUAUUAUAUAGGACGCUCUUCGCUCGAACGUCUUUGCCUAUGAGAUCGGAGUAUGUAUCUAUAUUUAUAAAAGAAAAGAAAAUGAUCUACUAUAAUAGUAUUAUUAUUUUCUGAUGAGUACACAAUUGUAAAAUAAUAUGCAUAUAGAUCAUAAUAGAUAUGUUACAACACGAGCGUGAUGGGAUUUUAUAAUAUUAAAACUAGAAUUUAUAUUUAAGUAAUUGUGCUCGACGGACUUCAAAAAAAAUUUAAAAUGUUACCUACAAUUUAUUACUAUUAGCCUAGUCAUAACAAAAAAUUGAUUAGGGGACCGGGGGAGUAUUGUAAUUAUGUCAUUACUAUUAUAUAUAUACGUCAGAUACAAUAUAAAUAGAUACCCAUUUCUUCAUGGAUUCCUCAAAAAUGUUUUUUAGUCGACCUUUAUGUCGAAAACUAAUUUCAACAAUUACAAUUGAAACUUUAUAACUGAUAUGAGACUUAUUAAUCUUAUUAUAUUUUAUUUUUACUUAUUUUAUUUUGUAUAUUUUAUAUAAUAUAAUAUAUCAUUUGUGUUCAAUCCCAACAAACUUUUUGUAUAAUUAUUUCAAACAAAAUAGUUUCCAAAUCUACUGCUGCAGUCUCUACUCAUAUUCCAUAACCGAUAAAUUAAAUAAGUAUCUUCAGUAAUAAUCACAUGCGUAAGUCGAACCUGCAAUUUCACUAUGUAUUAAGACAGUCCACCACUCUCUAUAGUCUAUAUACAUUAUACACAUUGUCGAUUAUGAUAUUUUCGAUUUUCGUGAUAUAUCGUUCGAUUUGUGAUUUCUAUAAAUUACCUAUAUUAUGUUGAUUAAAUUGACUGUUAUAUUAUCAAAAAAAAAAAAUCAAUUAUUUGACCCUAUACUGCACAUGUAUUUUCGUCUUUGUGAGCAGCUGCACCUCCAACCAUGGUUUACCUUUUUUUAACCUCGUUCUUUUCCUUAGAAAUUCGAGGAUUUAAAAUGUUUUAUCACUUAUUUUAUAAUACGAAAAGCCGUGUGAUAUUAUAUUCACUGCGAAGUCUUGAUGAUAUGGAAUCGAUGUUUCGCGUUAUACCGACAUAGUAUAAUAAUAAAAUACAUGCCUACCUAUACCUAUAAUCGACAAGCGAUUUUAUUAUAUGACGGGUUAUCGUUAAAAAUCGCUCAACGACCGGUCGGUGGCUACUAGAACUCGAUUUAUUUUAAUGACAUUAUUAUUUUUUUUUUUCUAAAUCCUAAACAUUAAAUCGAGCACAGUAUACCUAUAUAUACAAUUAUAUAGCGGUUUGCGGCCGCAGAGAUGCCAAAACGAUUCGUAUAUUAUCGUACCGUGAAUUGCGUCGACGUAUUUGAGCGAUUUCUCGUAUACAACAUACCGCCGCCGUAAGCACACGAAUAUCUACAAAUAAAACACGACACUGUGUGGAUGCGGUUUCUCGCGGUUUCAAGAUCGCGCAAAUCGCGUAUCUCCUCGUCAUCGCAUAUUUGAUUUGCACUCGAAAUCGACCGCCAUCGCCGUUCUUCGAGUAUACGAUUUGGCAAUCUUAUCGCUGACUGCACAUAUUAUUAUUACCUAUAAACGUAUACCACGCGAUAUGCAUGUACAUGUACCAUAACAAAACGGAAAAAAAUUGGUCUAAAAAUAACGAAAAGACGCAUAUAAAGAGAUGAUGAAUCGUAAAUAUGUAAAUAAUAUACGUGUACGAGUAUAUUAUGUCCUCAAGUAGAAAAACGGCGGAAAAAAACAUCCGUGAGCAACAGAGCUCUGUUGUUAGAGUGGAAGAUCGCCCCCACAUAUUCUUGUUAAAGAACUUCACAAAACAAUAAAUAACCGAAUUCUAAACAAAGAUAGAUAUAAUAAAACAAUUAAAUAAAUUCAAAAAAAAAAAACUAAUAAAUUAGAUCAUAAUAAUAGUCGAGAAAAGAGUUGAAAGUUAAAACUCCCAAAAGAUAAUUAUAUCAUUUAUACUUAAACCAUGCAUAUACACAAUUUCGUUUCCCUGACUUCAUUUUUCCGGAUCUGAGGUUUACAUUAUUAAAAAAAAAAAGAAUCCACUGUAGUGAAAUCAAUACAUUUUUGUAGUUACUCUCUACAGAAUCUAAAAGGUUCGUCGAAUAUACUCUAUAGACGAUGUUCAUGUCAUACUGCAGAUAUCUAAAUAUGUUAAAUAUUUUAGUUGAUCAUCUAUUGUCUUAACAUAAUAUGUGAAAGUAACAACGCCGAAAUAUUAUUUUAUCACGGGCAUUCCAUCUGGUCGCGUAUAGAGCGUGCGCGCCGUCGCGUCGCAGUUAUAUCGAUAAAAAUCCGUUUCGUUAUAAAAUAUUUUCUGUAUACAUAAAUUCUCCCUGUAUAAAUGGUUCUUUCCCUUUUUUUUCGUUCGUUCAUCGAUUUACCACGAUAAAACAACACUAGCCUCGCCCCUCUUCGUCGUUCUAUAGUAUAAAAACCCGCGGGGCCGAACGUGUUUGCACUACAAAGUAUACGACGACAACUACUGCAAAGAUAGAAAUAAUAAUAUUCCCAAAAACGAUAAUGAUUGAGUCUUUUUCUUAUUGUUUUAGUCGAUUUAGCGCGUUAUUUGGCGAAAAUUCUUCGAACUUUACGCUGGCAUUUUUCACUUUUAUAGGACGUAAUGGCUCGAAUUCGCGUACGCGCGUGUGUACAUUAAAUUCACGAUCCUAAGGCUUAACAUAUCACAACUAUUAAAAGAGAACGGAGUUUAAUCGCAAAUACAGUCACCAUAUAAUAUCCGGUGACAUUUAAAGCACGUUUUUCCGACGUUUACAUAUGAAAUAUAUUGCGUAUUUUAGACUGCCCGUUAAAGUUAAACCGAGAACAAUAUAUAAUAUAGUUUUCUAACUUGAAACGGGUGUAUUUAUUUAUUUUUAUUCUGAUCGAAGCGAGAAAUAAGCAUUCGUCGUAUUAUAUAUAUUAAGACAUGUGUUUCUAGUCGAAUUUUCCACGAAAAUAAAAACUGUUGCACUUUAUUAUGUCUAUUAUAAUAGAUACAUAAUAAUAUGUAUAAGAUGCGUAUUAAAUAUCAUUUUCCUGCUAUUUUUGGACACUUUAAGAGACGCCCUCUGGAACAAAAUAACUAGAUCAGAGUUGUUUUAUAGACGUAUUAAAGUGAUAAAAGUUUAGUUACAUUUUAAUAUAAAUUCACUAUCACAUAUAAACAAUAUAAAUCACAAUAUAAAUUCACAUCAUUAAAUAAAUCCAGGGGAAUGAAAUUUUAUAAUUUAUGAGUAUGACAAUAUCAGGUACCUUUGGGAUGGUUCAACUUUCAACCUCAACCCCUACAAUUUGUAUGAUCUGCAGAAUUCAUCAUUUGUUUGGAAAUUGUAUAAUAAUAAUUUGAAUACAAUAUAGUAUUAAAUUAUAAUAGUAUUCGAUAGUUCAAUGUUUUUUAAAGAAUACGGUGUGGCUAUUAAACAACGAGACUGAUUACGAAAAAGUGUUUUAUUAUAAAAGUUAUUCCCCUUCAAUAUACUCCCCUCCCCUCUUCAUACACCGUUUCAUUUGUUUCUUCCAUUGCUCGAGGCAGUGCUGGAAGUCUGUUUUCGUAAGACCAUUCAGGAGUUCCGCCGAUUUUUGUUUCACCUCUUCCAUUGACUCAAACCGGAUUCCUUUUAAGGCAGACUUUAUCUUCGGAAACAAGUAAAAGUCGCAGGGUGCCAAGUCGGGUGAGUAAGAUGCGUGUUCGAGUACUGGAGUGCCUUAAGCGGCCAAAUAACGCUUCACGCUUUAUCCUGGUGCAAGAUCCACGACUUGUUUUUCCACAAUAUCGACCGUUUCUUACGAACUCAUUCGUGCAAUGUUGCCAAAACUGUCAAAUAGUAAUGUUGGUUCUCAGUUUGACCCUUUGGAACCCAUUCAGUCAUCACGAUGCCGUUGAUAUCGAAGAAAACGGUUUUGAAUUUGAAUUACGACUGAAUUGGAUUCCGAUGCACUUUUGACCUUCAGAAAAUAAUUUAUGCCACUUAAAAACACGCGCCCGAGAUAUUAAAUCUUCACUAUAGGCCUCUUUUAACAACUUAUAGCACUCAGUUGGAGUUUUUUUUAGUUUAACGAGAAAAUUGUACGUUUACCCGUUGCUCAUGUUUUUCGUCACACAUGGUUUUCGGCACGAGAAAAAAACACGUUCGUUUCAAACCACUACUGCACAAAUACUAUAAUAGUGACGAAAACGUGUUUUGGUACGUGGAUAGAUAAGAUAUCUAGAUACCCAACGCAUUACUCGUUUUUUUCAUUACCCAUCUAGGGCGAGCAGUCUCGUUAUUUAAUAGCCACACCUCAUAUGUCUACAAUACAAAAUAGACGGGAAAAAUGUCGACUUUGUAAUAUAAUGAUGAAGCUCUGCUGCAUAGCUCAUAACUGUUUUUUUUCUCGUGUAAAACACUUUUGUGACUAAUAAUAAAAAUGCUCAGAGUUGGUAGGUAAAAUAGGUAUGUAACUGAAAAGAUGAGAAUUUUUCCCUCAGCCGCGGUACUUUAUUUGGAAAAAUCAUUUCGUUAGAUUUCCAAAUGUUUUUCUAUUAAAAAACAAUAAAACCAUCAAAAUCACAAGAUGUCUGACGAGACAAGUUUUAUUAUUACAAUCAAUUUAAAACAGGCGAAAUAAUAUAAUAUUAAUAGAACGCACCAAAAAUGUCGGUUCCGAACCUUUGGCUGUACAAUACGACUCGAAUGAGCUACUUUACGGGCAAUUUAUUCCGUUCCCUUCUAUCCAUGACUAUAUUAUAAUAUUUUACACGUCAUUCUGUCGAUGUUUAUGCGAUUUUCUCCAUAUAUUAUAUUACACGUCACGUGACACAUUAAUAUUAUAAUUUCGCCGAGUUUCCAUUGUGAACACCUUGUGUCGAUGUAAAAAAUAUUAUUAUUAUUAUAUUAUAUUCUUGGUGCUGAAAAUUGCUAAAAAAAAAUAUCUACACAUACCUUCGAUAAAAAAAAUCUCGUAAGUAUAUGUAAGUGGAGGUACCAAGUACCUGAUGCAAGACGUUGAUGAUUUUUAUGAGUUUCUUUAGAAUCCGAACAUAAAACUGGAUAUUACAGGUAAAUGGAUUUUUGAUAUUUUGAUAUUUUCAACUAAGAACAACUUUCACGAUAAACCUUAUUAUUGUAUUGAAAAUUUGCAAAGAUAAAUGUUUAUUAUAGUACAACUAAAAAAGAGCAAAAAAAAACCAUUUACCGUAUCUAUAGUGCUUAUAAAAAUAAGAUUGUUUCUCGCUAAAUCAUACAAAACGAAAAAUAAAUCAAUUUCAACAAUACACCAGUUUUUUUUUCUAUUAUUAUUAUAAGAAAAGUAUGGAGAGUUAAAAAAAAAUCACCUCCAAAUGUAUCAACUAUAAUAAUAGGUAUACAGUGUAUUUCACUCAAAUGGUAAGACGAAAUAUUUCUGUUCAGUGACCUUGGAUUGAAAUAGGUUUUUCAAGAGAAGAUAGGAAAUACUGAAAUACACAUUUUGCAUGGAUUUUCAAAUUUGUUAACCUUUCAGUGCGCGCAUGCGCAAUAAAACUUGCAUUUUUAGAAACACAUAUUUUCAACACUUGAUUUGGAUAAACUAUUUUUUUUUUAACGACUUAUAUAAAUAAACUCUUCCCUUAUCUCGAAAAUUGCCCGAAACUUAGCUAGUUAAAGUUGAAACAAAAUUAUUUUAUUAUUAUUAAAUUUAUUUUAUUUUGAACAAUUUAUUACAAAAAAUACUCAUCAGUCAUCAUUAUCUUAUAAAUUGUUCAAAAUUUUGUCCAUUAUGUUGUAAACAUGUUUCUGAACGUCGUAUGAUUUCAUCUUGAGUUGCUGCCAUAAUUUGUUUAUUUGUUAGUUGUGUGCAUACUUCAGUGAUUUUUUGUUUUAAAUACUGAAGACUAAUCGAGACUAAUCCAAUGAUUUUCAAAUGUGCUAUUUAAGUAUUUUCAUACAAUAAUACUGUUGUGCGCGGAGGCACUAUCUUGUUCAAAAAAUACGUUUUCCUUAAUAUCUAACGGAACACUAUUUAACAAUGGUGGUAAAUGGUUAGAGAAAAUCCAAAAUCUCCUUCCAUUUAAUGAACCAUCUGAAAAUAGGGGCUUUUAUAGAACUUCCUAUUAAUCUAUACCAUACAUUUGUUGUAUGGGUACAUAUGAACCAAUAGCUUGGCCAGCGCGUUCUCCUGAUUUGACGAAUCUAGAUUGUUUUCUUUGGGUACAUUGUAGUUAAUUUUGAACCACCGAUAAAUCUCCAGCAAGUUUUAUUGCACAUGCGUACACUGAAAGGUUAAUAAAUUUGAAAAUCCAUGCAAAAUGUGUAUUUCAGUAUUUCCUAUCUUCUCUUGAAAAACCUUUUUCAAUCCAAGGUCACUGAACAGAAAUAUUUCGUCUUACCAUUUGAGUAAAAUACACUGUACAAAUUCGAAAUACCACGAAAAAGCUCCUUAUAUAAUAACAAUAAAAUAUGUUCUUAGAUUGUAUCGAGUAUUCUACUUCUCUAAUCGAAAGGAAACACCAAACAGCAACGAAAUUUUUCUUUUUUUUAAAUACGUAUUUGUUUUUUUCACCAAGGUACGUACCUGCUAUAUGUAUAUAAAUCUAAAUAUUUUCAGGUCGGUGCACAUAAUUUGCAGUUGUUUUUUUAAUCGAUCGUCGUCGUUUUAACUGUGGACGUAUGUAUGUAUGUAUGUAUGUAUGUGUGUAAGUGUGUGUGUGUGUGUGUGUGUGUGUGUGUGUGUGACGUCAGAUGAAUUUUUCAACAGAAACCCAGGAUAUUAUUAUUACUAUCGCCAGUACUAGUGGAAGCUGUUCACAUAUAAUAUACAUACAAGCAUUUUAUCAUAACCAUUAACUGGCACGGUGGUGACGACCGUGGUUAAGCUAGGGAAGGUAAGGUCUUUCUCUCUCUCUCUCUCAAUGAUUCGCGACAUCAAUUUAUAAUAACGCGCCCAGAUAAUAUAAGUGCAGGCGCUUAACAUGUGAAAGGUUGAAAUUCAUUCUCAGGCCCGAAAGAGCACACCAACCUAUAUAAUUAUUUUAAAUUCCAUUAAAAACACCCAUUAAAUUAUGAUUAUAUUAUGAUAACGCACGCCUCGUAACGAUGCCGUCGAGUUGGCGUCACUGCUGUGGGAGUCGGUUCUCUAGAUGAGGAAAACAAAUUAUUUAACAUAACCUUAAAUGUGAUCGUGAGCUUCAGUCGGAACUUAAUCGAAAAAAACUUUCGCGAUUUAUUAUGAAAAACCACGUCGUCGGAUAGAUCACGGGAAAAAAAACAAUUUUGUUUCUUUCACAGACUUUUCUGUUAUCACGGGGAGAGAAUUAUCCCUAAGUCCCAGUGCAUGACUGAUACGAACAUUAUUAUUCAAAAUAACUACUUUGAGGUUCAAGAUUGUGAUGAUUAAUGAUAAUGUGAUAAUGUGUUAUCAAUUUAUUAGUUUAUAAUAAAUGUCUAAAAUGCUUUAAAAAAAAAUAUCCGUGUUUAAAAACUUAGUUAUUAGUUAGAGUGUCUGAAAAUAUCUAAAAAAAAACCGCUACUGUUGUUUUUCUUUUUUGCUACCUACAAAAUAUACCCGUUUAAUAUCAUCUGGUUAUCGAAUUAUUAUAUUAUUUAAGGCCAGUUAAGAACAAGUCGACAAUUGGUCGAUAGUAGACUUUUUUCUUUUUUAAUAAACUAACAAUUGCGAGAGUGUUAAAAAUAUAAUACAUCUACACACUAUAUUAUAAUAAUAAUAGUAUUAUCAACGAUGUUCAGUUAUAUCGUUAUUGCGAAAGAGAAGAGAGAAAAAAUAACCGUGAAAAUGAAUGUGUUCGAGAAACGGCGCACAUCGAAUAUCGUAUACAAUAUUAUAAAUUAUAAUAAAUCACAUUUUACCUAUACGAUUUCUGGGAAAUAACGAUCGGGAAAGUCGCUUAUCGUAAAAAUUAAAAAAAUAAAUCGAAAGCGAUCUUGUACGAGUUUUAAUAUAUACACACAAGUGUAAUAUAUUUUAUUUAUUUAUCACUAGAACGGAUAUUAUAUUUUAUGAGUUUUUCUCAAGCCAAUAAUAAUAUCGUAUAUAUAGGUUACUCACUAUAUACAGCGUAAUCAUAUUUUCAGUUAACACUAUAAACAUUUUGGCCGAAUAAACUUAUAUUUAAAUUCAGUUUUCGGCAGGUGAUAUGGAAUAUUAAAAUACAUAUUUCAGGAUAAAUUCAAAAAUUGUAACUGUUGUAUUGGUCGCACAUGCACAAUAAAACUUACAUUUUCUCGAAGUUAAAACGACCACCACCCACCAGUAUACUUAAAAGUUUCCUCGGUGCCUAUAUGGACAUUUUUAGGGAUGAGAGCAAAGCAAAAUUGUUCCACAAAUUAUAGAUAGGAAUAAGUCAAACACUAUUUCUAAGGACUUAAAUAUGUGUCAGGAAAGAAAUGUGCGCUUUUGCCUCCGCCUUACAAGUGGAAGUUAACUUAGGUUAUUUUUUAGUUAAUUGAAAGUAUAAUUUUGAAAAAUUUGUAAAAUUGUUAAAUAAUUUAAGAUAAUUUAAAUUGAUUAUAAUCAUAAAUUGUUCAUUAUUUCGUUAUAUUUUGAUCUAUAACUAGACUCUAGAUUUUAUAAAUCUCAAAGUUGCCUAAUAAUUAAUACUAUUAUAUAAUUUGUUAUAUAAUACAAAUUUAAUAGAUCAUAUAUAGUUAUAAUAAUCUAACAUUUAUUCAAUCACGUCACUAAGUCGGUACUCCUACCCCCUAAUGCAAUAAUACGUUCUGAAAACCUAAUUUAAAUACAAGGUUAUCCGGCCGAAAUAAUAUGUAGUGUUACCUGGAAAAACCAGAUCACUCUAUAUACUAUGCCUAUAAUACGACGAUAUUAGAAAAACGAAAUCAAUUUAAUCGGAACCUGCAGCACGGUAGAUGAUGGCGAUAGAGUCGCUACGCAACAUUAUUACUUUGCGAAUCGAGUAAGUUCACCAUUUUCAUGGAAGAUCCGCGCUACAUAUUUUAAGGGCAUAGCGUUUUGUUUUUUUUUUAUUUUUGAGUCCCGUCAACCGUUGUGCAUCAUUCUCGUACCAGUCAUUUGUUUUAUUAAAAUGUUACAUUAUUUUUACAUGUUAUUAUAACGUUAACAAAUAAAUAUUUGAACGCAAAAAUCAAAUAAACUUAAAUCUUGUUUUGUUUUGUUUUUUUUUUUUUUGCUUCCCUUUUUUUGGAGCCCGUAAAAAAUAAAAAUAUACCUAUAAUUAUACGGUGUUUUGCUUUCGGAUAUUCUCCUCCACCACUGGGGUACUGUAAUUUUAAGACAAAUUAUUGUAAAUAAUAUAACACAAUGCCUAUGCAAAUGCCUAUAUACACGAUGAAAUUAUUUUUUUUACUUUGUGAUUAAACUUCGAUUAGUCUUGUAUUAAUACAUAUGUAUAGUUCGGGGAGGGUGACGAUAAAACCCGUGGAUUUCUCAAAAAUUAUCUCGAUUACAAUGCAUGUUUGUCGGUGCAGAUGCAGUAUUAGAAACUUCCGGCCGGUGUAAUAAAUUAUUUUAAAACUAUAUAAUAUAUUAAAAACGAAAUUAAAAACGCGGGGAAACAAAUUACCGUCGUCAUAGUCGUCGCGGAAAAAAAGUUCGCGUAUUAAACGAUUUUUCUCAAGAAAAAAACGCCGGAGGAGGUGGGAGGAACAAGCUUUUCCUCGAGACGAAAUAAUGAAAAUCUUUUCGCUUUUAAUGCUGCAGGCUUCUAAUAAUAUAUAAUGGUAUAUUUUAAUAAGUUUUUUGUCGUGUGAAAUUUCGUUAAUAUUAUUACGAUAUAUAAAUACAUUAUUAUUCUGAUGUUUUUUUUUUCUAUUUUUUAAUCAUAACUAUUAUCACGAUUAUUAACAUUAUGUAACUGCGCAUAAGAGUUAACAACAUAUCGUUUUAAUCGUUUGUACUUAAGAUAAACAUGUUAGUUUUAUAUACCGUGUGGCGUUUGAGUAACCGAAUGUUUUGUCCAUAUAAGUACCUUUACCUAAAUUAUUAAGGACGAAGCACGUUUGGACCAGGAACGUUUGAGUCACUAAUAAAACUCUGCGACCCAUUUUGACUAGGAUUUAGUGAACCCGUUUGGGCCAAUAAUACAUUUAAAUUUCUAUAAAGGUUCACUAAAUAAAUGUUCAGUUAAACUAUGAAAAUUAAUAUUAGUAAAUUAUUAUUUAUAAUAAUAAAUUAUUAAGUUUACAUACAAUUUCUAUGUAUCAAUUUAGUUUUAAAACAUACCAAAAAUUCAAUUAUAUUAAAUAUAUAUUAGAUACCUAUGUCUAUUAUCUUUAUAUAAUAGAUAUCUGUGUAUCAAGGUCUUAUAACCAAUAAGAUAACGCAAAUAAAAUACUACUAUAUAAAGACUCGCUAAAUAAACAUUUAGUUAAACUAACAUUAGGAAAAUUCUGGUUCAAACGGGCCGUAUAAAAGUAGUAUUGUUUAGCUCAAACGGGUCUUCAAAAUUGGUCAAAACGGGUCCUGCCUAUUACUAUGUACCUUUAAUAUUCCACCGAAAUUCUUCAGUAUUUUUCUACUUGUAUACAUAAUGUAAUAAUUAUUAAAACCUACUUUUUUUUUUUACGCUUUGUCAAAUUAUUAAAGAAAUUGUCUUCAAGACGCCGAUAAAAAAAAAGGUCGUGAUGAUGAGUUGCACGCAUAAUUUCGGUGAAACGGUUUCGGAUUCUAAUCUUCACUUAAUAUAAUAUUACAGCCAUCGGGUACCUAUAUUUCCAUGGAUUAUAAAAAACGAAUUGUCAUUUUUUUUUAAAUAUAGUAUUUCUUAAUCGUAUAUAUUAUUUGUUUAUUCAGUUAUAUACCUACUAUAUAGGUAUGUGUGUACAGUUCUCGUCGAACUUCGAUCUAUCCGGUAACCUCAGUUAGAGUGUGCAGAAAAUAAAAUUAUUAUAAUAAUAAAAUCAAUGAAAUAAUUUAAACAUUAUACAAUAUGUUACAGUUGUUACGUAUUUUUAAAAAGUAAUGUAUUAUUACUUCAAGUUUUCCAAAAAAAAAAAAUAAUAAUAAUAAUAAUAAUAAAAUAAUAGACUAAUGCGAAUUCUGUUCGACGAUUGUAUUUGAAUGUGUUUAGACCGAGAAAAACUUAUGCAAUUAUCGGGGAAAAUCAUUCGAACACGGACCCCGACCGUUGUGUGACCGUAUCACCGCAGUGCAAAAUCUCCGUUUUACUUUUACAAAUUAAUUCCCUGAACAUUUAUGACGUGUAAAUGAAACUGUCAGAAACAAAAAUGUUUGUUUUGAAAUUGGUUAAAAAAAAAAAAACAAGGUUUUUAAUAUUUGGUAUAAUUGUAAAAAGCUAAUGGUCUCGCUGACUUUAACAAUGUUAUAUGUUAUAUAACAAAAAAUAACAUAAAUUUUAAAUUUUAGAGCAGCUUGUUUUUUUAAAUAUUUUAGAAAACAAAUUCUGGAAGAAAUUAAUACUUUAUCUGACUGAAAAUUUCAGAAAAUAACAGUUUCUCGAUAUAUUAUUAUAAAAGGGUAAAAUUUAAUAAAACCACUGUACAUAAUAUAAGACAUUAAAUAUUAUCCUAAUCUAUCAUCUUAAACCAAAUUUUGUUAAACCAAUUACUGACGGUCAUGGGUCCACUUGGAAUCUAAAAGAAAUUUACCUAUGUCAUCUUAAUGAUACACAAUGUAAAUAUUACUUGAAAAUAACACAAAAAUAGAUCAUUAUAACCGGUUUUUUGUGACAAAGAAUUACGAUCCAUAAAGCCAAUAAUAUUAUAACGGCAGCUUAAAAUUAUUGUCGGCAAUCCCUUUAGAAAGGAAUUAGGACUCUUUAUAUAGAUUUUCAACAGCAGUUUAUACAACCCUCCCGUCUUUUCUGUAUAUAUAUAUAUAUAUAUUAUGUAGGGAUUUAUUCCUAUCCCCUUUCUCAAAACGUCAUGCUUAAUUUGAAUCAGAAUUAUAUUUGGAAGUAUUAUAUUUAACUGAAAAAUUCUUCUGCACCGUGAUAUUGCAUAUUUAAUAUUUUAAUAUAAAAUAAAAAUAAUAAUAUUAAAACGGAGAACGUUCCGAUUAGACAAUAUUAUUAGGUAGCUUUGUAGAUUUUCAGUUUUUAAGACCUCUAAAAUAAAAAUAUUAUAACUGAAAAUUUCACGAAAUACCUACAUUAAAUAAUAAUAUUUUAAUGCAAUAAUAUAAUUCCACAUUACAUGUAAUUUAAGUUAAAUCAAAAUGAAAACAUAUUUUCAACGUUUACCUACGAGUUGUAUAACUUUCUUGUACGUAACUCAACUUACUAGUUAUAUUUUUACAAGGAACUGUAAUAGUAACUUAACGUAAUUUGUUUGUAAUAACUAUUAUGACGUAUCUGAGUUAGUAAACUAAGAUUAGUAACUGUAACUUAACUAUUGGUUAGGUAACCGAAAUUUAGUACAACUCACUCCAUUUUUUUUUAUACUAUAUCGCCCACUGGCCACUACUGACCACCGGUUUUCUCUCUUCCUGCUAUCAGUCCAUUUAUUUUAUUUUGGUCCAGAGAGUCCGCAGUAUAAGAUUUAUUUUUACGAGUUCUACAUGAAACGCAUAGUUUCAUAAAUUUGUUUAUAAUUGUAAAUAUAUUUAUGCCAUGUACUUCACCUACUUAGUAAUUUACUAUCCAAAUUAUCUGCCUAGAAAUAAAUUUACGGUUUUUAAUUUCUCCCUCCCAUCCUAAAAAUAAAUUUACUAUGGUUACACUACUGAAUUCUUACAUGGUAUAUUGAGACUUUACCUUCUGAUCUUAUAUUUCCUUGAAAUAAACCAACAAUUUGUCUGGUUUUUAUUUUUUUUACAUUUUUCCCAAUUAUCAUGAAAACCAUUUCGAAAAUAAAAAAAAAAUAAUUUUCUUAAUCCACUAACUAAGUCCAAUGUCUAACAAAAAAUGUAUUUUGGCAUUUUUUGAUUGAAGUAAGAUUUCUGUUAGAAAAGAUGUUUUAAGACAGGAAAAAAAGCACACAUUAUAGUAAAACCAAUAUAUUCCUCGCUACGCUCAGAAUCUAAAAAAUAAUAAUAAAAAAAUAUUUCGUUUUUAACGGUUUGUCGUUUCAUAUUAUUUCUCUUCCAAUGAUGAAUAUUUAUUCACAGUGUGUGUAUAGAAAUAAAUGUCGCCGUCACGUCGAAACCGAAACGUUAAGUGCGACGUACGACUGUCAACCGUCACGGAUUAACCACAGGACAAGGCUGUUUAAUUAGUAUUUAUUUUAUUUUUCCGUUAUUCAAAUAAUAUUUUUUUUUUAUUCAUAAAAUCUAUAACUAUAUUUGUUUCUUUUUUUCUAAAGUUCGUGCACAUAUUAUUGUUAUUAUUAUUUUUGUUUCCUCUUGUCCCCGCAUUAUACAUUAUAACGCUUCAUCAUAUCCGUUAUAUGUCUCGUAUCGUUAUAAUAUACCCAUCCGGAUCAUCGCGUGCUUGCCGCUAUAAUUAUACACAUUUGGAAUAAUGUUGUUAUACGUAAAUACACCGGUUUUUUCAUGUCUUCCAAUAUUAUACAUUUUUUUCAUUCACUGCGAGUUAUUCUUUUUCGUUAUUCGACCGUUUUUCCAGUUCAAACGUAAAAUUAUAAUGCAGUAUUGUAUAGACAUAAUAUAUAAUAAUAAGGAUCUUCUUAAAUUCAACAAUGUUUAUAAUCAAAAUGAUAAAAAUAUUAUAAGUAUGUGUACAUUCCAAAAAUCGAUGGUUUGAACAUAUUGUUCGAUAUACUGUUCCAAAAUUCAAUUUUCUAUAUAAAUUUUCAUCAAAUCCAGUGGCACAAUUAGCUUGGGAAACCUUGGGGUGGGAGUCUUGAAUCUAACCAUAGUAUUAAAUUAAUGCUCUACCUCUAAAUUAGGGCAAGAAGGGGGGCUUCAGAUGAUCCAGGAGAGCUGCUUACGCCCUCUACUUACAUGUUUAAUUAAAUCUAAUGUUUUUUGCAACGACUUUCCUGAUUAAUUUUUUUCAGUUUAUGUCCAUUUAUAAGGACAUAAGGAAAAUGUUGCCAUUUAAAUAUGUUGGUAACAAACAAACCCGCCGUUUUCAGUCCUAUAUAUUAUUUGUAGCUAUAAAUGCAUUUUUUUUAUUCUUUACCACAUUGUAAUACACAUAGAUUUCUCGUAUUUACUCAGUAAAAUGUUCGAUUCUCGAUUUAAAGAAUAAUUUCGCUAGAUAUUUUCGAUUUCUCCUCCCUCUUUUCUGGAAGGUUGUUUUAUGGUAUUUUCCACAAUUUUCUUUCCCCCUCUCUAUCUAGCUGUUGUAUUUUUUUCGGUUUUUAACGUUUUGAAAAUUCACAUCUCUAUAUAUUAUAAUCAUGACGUAUUAUAUAAGUGUUUGAAAAAGUCGGAAAGUACUAAGCCGGACACAAUUUUUGCUAGGAUAUAAUAAUAUUACAUAUUAUAUUAUAUUAUUGUUAUAAACGCGCGGUCUCAAGUACUACUAUUAUUAAAAUAUCACGUUCAGAAGGUCAUCGGGUGUUACUCCGUAACUAAUAACUGAAUAUAUGUUGUUAUACAGUAAGAGUGUUGAAUAACGUUAUUUUAUGAAAUGACUAGUUAUAGUUUAUGAAUUGGUUACAAGUUUCGGUUAGAGUUUGACGUAAAAAUUAUAGUUUGAAUAAUAUAUUUACUAAAUAGGUACUAAACUUAAAAUACGUUAUUUCAAGUAUUAUAUUAUUAUACAUACGAUUUCAAUUCGAUUUCCGUUUGAAUAAAAGAGUAUAUACUAUAUAGGGUGAUCAAUAUUCAAUAUUGAAAUCCUCGAUGACACUCAUUAUCUCAGAUUUUUUUUUUUGUUUUGUUGAAGUUGUGUCUUCAACAUCAUUGGUAUAGACAAUAACAACAAUACUAAACUUAUCAACAGAAAGGAUUUCAAAGUUAUAAGUUUUUAACGUAUUCACAAUAUUGUUUAUAAUUUUAUUUUUUCGUUUAAUUAAAUUAUUGUAAUUUAAUAUUUUGAAAGAAUUAUUUUUUUAAUUUUUAUUGGGACAUUUAAUUAAGUUAAAUCUCGUUAGAUUCUAAUUUUGGAAGUGCAUAUAAUUAAUAACUGGCUCACACUGCAUAAUUGUUCUUUAAUGGGUUCCAAAUUCAAUAUUUGUUAUGCAUUAUAUUUGAUUCCUUUAUUUAAUAAGUUAUUUCCAAAUUUUUCGAAGACUAUAGAAGUUAAAUUAGUGACUCGUGGCUGAAAGGAAUGCCAAUUAUAUAUUUUGCAAAUGUUAUAUAUUUUUUCCUAAUAUAGAAUAUUAAUUUUAUCAUGUACUCUAACACCAGUGGUUUUCAAUCGUCGUGGCUCCCAGAGGCGUCGUGGUUUAUUAUCAAGGGAGCCGCGUUUAUAGUAAAUAAAUACAGUAAAGUAUUGCAGUAAAUUUAUUAAUUUUAAUUUUUAUUAUUAUAAUUAUUCGUAAGGGGGCCGCGAAUUUAGUUUUCAAAAUCAGAAGAGCCAUGGACCCCAAAAGGUUAAAAACCACUACUCUACACCAUUAACCAUCACUUUUGAAAAUACAUUUUUGUUGUACAUAAUUUUUUAAAAGAAGAAAUAAAAUUAAAAUAUUAAUAUAUUUUAAAGUAUAAAUUGUAUAUAUUUAUAUUCCAGCGUAUAUACCUACCCACGAGUUUUAUUUAUUUUAUAAAUUACCUUUAGUAUCUAAUAUUUCGUAAACUGACCGAUUCGACGCUUUAACUUUUAUUUACUAUACUAUACAGACUGUAACUGUGGGAUUGAACAGUUUACCAUGCAAUAUAUUUCUGUUUCUAAGGUUUUAAGUCGAUUUAGUGCAUUAUUUUCAAUACAAAAUAAUUAAAUUUUGAAAAUACGAGUAGAUAAACUCGGGAAAUUUAGACCACAAAAUAAAGGGAAACAUAUUACGUACUUCAGACAGAAUUCAUCUUCUCUUUUUCCUUCAUUCCAAUUAUUUGGGGUCGGUCGUAUAUAAGACAGAAUUAUGAAGGAAAAAUUGACUUAAGCCUUUCUUUUCUGGGACCAAAGAUAUACACUCUGUAUAUUAAACUGAUAACAAAUUCGAGUUGUAUUUGAGUCUAUUAAACACUGCGGCAGUCGUGUAAUACUACUACAUUAUGUAGUUAUAUUACGGGGUUCAGAUUACAAAUUAUUAUAUAGAUUUCUCGAGUGCGGUGUACAAAAAAUCAUAACACGAAUAACGAUAUAAUCGUUCGAAACGGUUUAGUAUAUUAUAUGGUACUAUUAUAAAUGAUGAUGUUUGUUAAAAAUGAAAAAAAAAUAAUAAUGUAAUUACAUCGUUUAAACUACUAUAUAUAUAUUCUAUAUACGUACGAUAAACCAUUUAACCAUUUUUUUUUUUGCCAUACCUAAAUAAUAUAUUCGAUAUCCCUAUAUUCGAUAGUAAUAAUACUAUUGAUACCGUUCGUCAUCAUACCUUUAGACUGUUUACGGGACCGUUUAAUGCACGCGUUAUUUAAACCGCUUUAAUUUAAAUGCAUUAAUUUGUAUUGACUGAGACUAUCGAGUAAAUAUAUUGUGUAAAUAUCGAUAGUAAUAUUAUCGACACGAUUGAAUUCCGAUACUACAUUUCCAUCGUCGUGACGUGUGGAAUAUAUUAUAAUAAUUUUAUAGAGCAGAUACUGCAGCUGAUAUGGAUGUGCCGCUGUUUCAGGUGGGUAGUUUGGAAAGGUAGGAUAUAAUUUAGAGUAAUUCGAUUUACAUUUUUACUCGACAAUAAAUUGCUGCUAAUGUAAGACGAUUAAACAGUUCAACGUGAUUUUAAAUGUCGAGAUUUUAACGAAAUUCGACUUGACACGAAAAAAAAUCGCGUCUAAAGAUUUUAGAUAUUUUUAAAGUACCAUAAAAACAACAACUUAUAAUGAAAUUUACACCAAAUUUUCAAUAUUAUUUGAGAAGGCAACAAAUUGUUAUCCGCAUAAAACCAAACAUACACUAUGAAAACUCAAAUAGCUAAUAAUAACUAAAAAAUUUACCAAAUUAUUUUGAAAAUUGGAACAUUUUUCCAAAGAGAUGACAACAAAAAGUCAAAACAAAAGUUGCUGUCCACUUUUUUAAUUAACUGCCUAUGUUACUUCUUUUCAAAUAAAGUUCUUGAG
RNAcentral lists this long non-coding RNA (24972 nucleotides) under Cinara cedri. Lineage: Eukaryota; Metazoa; Arthropoda; Insecta; Hemiptera; Aphididae. The record is from RNAcentral.